CCUACGGGGGGCUGCAGUAGGGAAUAUUGCACAAUGGGCGCAAGCCUGAUGCAGCGACGCCGCGUGAGCGAUGAAGGCCUUCGGGUCGUAAAGCUCUGUCCUAAGGGAAGAAUAAUGACGGUACCUGACUAAGAAGCCCCGGCUAACUACGUGCCAGCAGCCGCGGUAAUACGUAGGGGGCAAGCGUUAUCCGGAAUCACUGGGGGUAAAGGGUGCGUAGGCGGUAGGGCAAGUCAGAUGUGAAAGCCCGGGGCUCAACUCCGGGAUUGCAUUUGAAACUGUCUUACUAGAGUGCAGGAGAGGAAGGCGGAAUUCCUAGUGUAGCGGUGAAAUGCGUAGAUAUUAGGAGGAACACCAGUGGCGAAGGCGACUCUCUGGACUGUAACUGACGCUGAGGCACGAAAGCGUGGGGAGCAAACAGGAUUAGAUACCCGUGUAGUC
This 441-nucleotide ribosomal RNA is filed under the name uncultured bacterium. RNAcentral's name for it is "bacterial SSU rRNA". It matches the Rfam family "Bacterial small subunit ribosomal RNA", at positions 338 to 795 of the family's 1533-position model. The record is from RNAcentral.